UACGGAGGGUGCAAGCGUUAUCCGGAUUUACUGGGCUUAAAGGGUGCGUAGGCGGAUUUGUAAGUCCGAUGUGAAAUCUCCGGGCUUAACCCGGAAACUGCCUUGGAUACUAUAAGUCUUGAAUGACGUUGAGGUUAGCGGAAUAAGUCAUGUAGCGGUGAAAUGCUUAGAUAUGACAUAGAACAUCUAUUGCGAAGGCAGCUAACUAAGCGUAUAUUGACGCUGAGGCACGAAAGCGUGGGGAGCAAACAGG
RNAcentral lists this ribosomal RNA (253 nucleotides) under uncultured bacterium. Its description in RNAcentral is "partial 16S ribosomal RNA". It matches the Rfam family "Bacterial small subunit ribosomal RNA", at positions 524 to 776 of the family's 1533-position model. The record is from RNAcentral.